This 74-nucleotide transfer RNA is filed under the name Deltaproteobacteria bacterium. RNAcentral's name for it is "tRNA-Ile". It matches the Rfam family "tRNA". Rfam says of the family: Transfer RNA (tRNA) molecules are approximately 80 nucleotides in length. Their secondary structure includes four short double-helical elements and three loops (D, anti-codon, and T loops). Further hydrogen bonds mediate the characteristic L-shaped molecular structure. tRNAs have two regions of fundamental functional importance: the anti-codon, which is responsible for specific mRNA codon recognition, and the 3' end, to which the tRNAs corresponding amino acid is attached (by aminoacyl-tRNA synthetases). tRNAs cope with the degeneracy of the genetic code in two manners: having more than one tRNA (with a specific anti-codon) for a particular amino acid; and 'wobble' base-pairing, i.e. permitting non-standard base-pairing at the 3rd anti-codon position. The record is from RNAcentral. Lineage: Bacteria; Pseudomonadati; Myxococcota; Myxococcia.
GGGCCCAUAGCUCAACCGGUUAGAGCUCCCCGCUCAUAACGGGGCGUGUCUCGGUUCGAAUCCGAGUGGGCCCA